Molecule: ribosomal RNA, 920 nt
Filed under: uncultured archaeon
Lineage: Archaea
Description: bacterial SSU rRNA
Rfam family: Archaeal small subunit ribosomal RNA
Source: RNAcentral
UUCCGGUUGAUCCUGCCGGAGGUCAUUGCUAUUGGAGUCCGAUUUAGCCAUGCUAGUCGCACGAGUUCAGACUCGUGGCAGAUAGCUCAGUAACACGUGGCCAAACUACCCUGUCGAUCGGGACACCCUCGGGAAACUGAGGCUAAUCCCGGAUACGGCUCGCAGCCUGGAGUUGGCGCGAGCCCGAAACGUUCAGGCGCGACAGGGUGUGGCUGCGGCCGAUUAGGUAGACGGUGGGGUAACGGCCCACCGUGCCGAUAAUCGGUACGGGUUGUGAAAGCAAGAGCCCGGAGACGGAAUCUGAGACAAGAUUCCGGGCCCUACGGGGCGCAGCAGGCGCGAAACCUUUACACUGCACGCGAGUGCGAUAGGGGGACUCCAAGUGCGAGGGCAUACAGUCCUCGCUUUUCACCACCGUAAGGAGGUGGUAGAAUAAGUGCUGGGCAAGACCGGUGCCAGCCGCCGCGGUAAUACCGGCAGCACGAGUGAUGACCGCUAUUAUUGGGCCUAAAGCGUCCGUAGCCGGCUGGGCAAGUCCAUCGGGAAAUCCGCACGCCUAACGUGCGGGCGUCCGGUGGAAACUGUUCGGCUUGGGACCGGAAGAUCCAGAGGGUACGUCUGGGGUAGGAGUGAAAUCCUGUAAUCCUGGACGGACCACCGGUGGCGAAAGCGCUCUGGAGAGACGGAUCCGACGGUGAGGGACGAAAGCUUGGGUCACGAACCGGAUUAGAUACCCGGGUAGUCCAAGCUGUAAACGAUGUCUGCUAGGUGUGGCACAGGCUACGAGCCUGUGCUGUGCCGUAGGGAAGCCGUGAAGCAGACCGCCUGGGAAGUACGUCUGCAAGGAUGAAACUUAAAGGAAUUGGCGGGGGAGCACUACAACCGGAGGAGCCUGCGGUUUAAUUGGAUUCAACGCCGGA